AGAGCCGGCCGGGUGGUCGCGGGAGCGGUUGAUGGCCGCUCUCGAGGAAAGUCCGGACUCCGCAGGGCAGGGAGCUGGGUAACACCCAGGCGGGGAGACCCGACGGAAAGUGCCGCAGAAAGGGAAACCGCCCGCCGUGGCCGUCUUUUGGGAUGGUGUGGACGGGUAAGGGUGAAAAGGUGGGGUAAGAGCCCACCAGCGGUCCUGGUGACAGGGCCGGCUUGGUAAACCCCUCCCGGAGCAAGGCCAAAUAGGAGCCGAUGCUGUGGCCCGCAGCGCUUGAGGCUCGGGUAGGCCGCAAGAGGCCGCCGGUAACGGCGGUCCUAGAUGGAUGACCACCACCCGGGAAAGAACCGGGUACAGAAUCCGGCUUAUAGGCCGACUCUCUCU
This 390-nucleotide RNase P RNA is filed under the name Actinomycetota bacterium. RNAcentral describes it as "Actinobacteria bacterium (sediment metagenome) RNase P RNA component class A". It matches the Rfam family "Bacterial RNase P class A". From Rfam's summary of the family: Ribonuclease P (RNase P) is a ubiquitous endoribonuclease, found in archaea, bacteria and eukarya as well as chloroplasts and mitochondria. Lineage: Bacteria; Bacillati; Actinomycetota. The record is from RNAcentral.